RNAcentral lists this transfer RNA (69 nucleotides) under Ictidomys tridecemlineatus (thirteen-lined ground squirrel). RNAcentral describes it as "Spermophilus tridecemlineatus (thirteen-lined ground squirrel) tRNA". It matches the Rfam family "tRNA". Rfam says of the family: Transfer RNA (tRNA) molecules are approximately 80 nucleotides in length. Their secondary structure includes four short double-helical elements and three loops (D, anti-codon, and T loops). Lineage: Eukaryota; Metazoa; Chordata; Mammalia; Rodentia; Sciuridae. The record is from Rfam by way of RNAcentral.
GGGGUUGUGGCUCAGUGGUAGAGUGCUUGCCUCACAUGCAUGGGGCACUGGGUUUGAUCCUCAGCACCA